GCUCACAUGGCGUAGUGACGUAGUCACUGCACUCGCCUUGCACGCGGGAGACCCGGGUUCGAUUCCCGGUGGGGUCA
RNAcentral lists this transfer RNA (77 nucleotides) under Diaphorina citri (Asian citrus psyllid). It matches the Rfam family "tRNA". Rfam says of the family: Transfer RNA (tRNA) molecules are approximately 80 nucleotides in length. Their secondary structure includes four short double-helical elements and three loops (D, anti-codon, and T loops). The record is from Rfam by way of RNAcentral. Lineage: Eukaryota; Metazoa; Arthropoda; Insecta; Hemiptera; Psyllidae.